RNAcentral lists this ribosomal RNA (305 nucleotides) under uncultured bacterium. Its description in RNAcentral is "bacterial SSU rRNA". It matches the Rfam family "Bacterial small subunit ribosomal RNA", at positions 334 to 634 of the family's 1533-position model. The record is from RNAcentral.
GAGUCCUACGGGACGCAGCAGGGAAUCUUCCACAAUGGGCGAAAGCCUGAUGGAGCAACGCCGCGUGGGUGAAGAAGGUCUUCGGAUCGUAAAACCCUGUUGUUAGAGAAGAAAGUGCGUGAGAGUAACUGUUCACGUUUCGACGGUAUCUAACCAGAAAGCCACGGCUAACUACGUGCCAGCAGCCGCGGUAAUACGUAGGUGGCAAGCGUUAUCCGGAUUUAUUGGGCGUAAAGGGAACGCAGGCGGUCUUUUAAGUCUGAUGUGAAAGCCUUCGGCUUAACCGGAGUAGUGCAUUGGAAACU